RNAcentral lists this ribosomal RNA (426 nucleotides) under uncultured bacterium. Its description in RNAcentral is "bacterial SSU rRNA". It matches the Rfam family "Bacterial small subunit ribosomal RNA", at positions 356 to 774 of the family's 1533-position model. The record is from RNAcentral.
AGGGAAUCUUCCACAAUGGGCGAAAGCCUGAUGGAGCAACGCCGCGUGAGUGAAGAAGGUUUUCGGAUCGUAAAACUCUGUUGUAAGGGAAGAACAAGUACAGUAGUAACUGGCUGUACCUUUACGGUACCUUAUUAGAAAGCCACGGCUAACUACGUGCCAGCAGCCGCGGUAAUACGUAGGUGGCAAGCGUUGUCCGGAAUUAUUGGGCGUAAAGCGCGCGCAGGCGGUCCUUUAAGUCUGAUGUGAAAGCCCACGGCUCAACCGUGGAGGGUCAUUGGAAACUGGAGGACUUGAGUGCAGAAGAGGAAAGUGGAAUUCCAAGUGUAGCGGUGAAAUGCGUAGAGAUUUGGAGGAACACCAGUGGCGAAGGCGACUUUCUGGUCUGUAACUGACGCUGAGGCGCGAAAGCGUGGGGAGCAAACA